CCCCUUAGUGUUGGCUGUGGGAAGGGAGAAGUGAAGUCAGUCACCUGGUGGUGAAGGCCAGUAAAACAGCAAAGCGGGAGGAAAAUUGCUGUCUCUCUCUUCUCUCCCUCUUUUCUCUCUGUGGGAGCCACCUCCUAUUCUUCCAACUCUUUUAGCAUAACCUUCAAAGGAGAACGGUCCCUUCAGACUUUGUUAACGUCUUUCCCCCACUGAGAGAAUACCUCUUAGCUACAAGACAUUUUUUUUUUUUUUAAGUCUAUGCAGGACUUCGGGGAUUCGGUUAUCUUGCCAGGGAAAUUGAUGAUUGCUAAUGUCUGGGACUCACAGCGUGCUAAAUUAGCUAGCAGAGUAUGCCUGACGGAGGAAGGCUUUUAUCACAUACUCUUCUCUCCAGUUUCAACACAUUUGCUUGAAUUUUGCCGCAUGAUGCUGUCCAGGGAAGCAGCUUUUUUUCUUGGGAUGCAGCAACUCGCUGGUUUCUAAGCUUAUUGCAGAAGAAGAAAUAAUCUGAAAUAGAGUGGAAUUUUUUUUUUAACCUCCUCUGCCUGACUCGACUGAGCCGUGUUGGACCGCGGCGGCGAGACCACGGAGAAUGAGACUGAGAGAAGCUGCCAGGGCUUGGAGGAGGAUAAAGCUGAGUUUCAGCUGGAAACUAAAAGACUAGAUCGGUUCGGGGAGCAACUUGGCCGGUUCCUCUCCACUUCCUUUAGUUUCGCUCCAUGGAUAGAUCCACGGACCUGGACAUCCAGGAGCUCAAGAAAUGGAAACCAAAGAUUGAGGAUGAUAAAUUGAUUUGUCUAAGUUAUUUAACCUCUGAAAAUCUCAUUUUCUUUAUCAAAGUGAAGAUAAUUGAUUGCAAAGAUCUCCAGGGAACAUUUUGAGGAUAAAAUUAGAAGUGCUUGGAAAGCAUCAUGAACAUCCGCCAUGAACGCUAAUCACGGGAAGGAGGUCUGCAUGUUGCUUUUGAAGACCACAGGAAGGCAACCAAGAAGAGCACAGAGCAGAAGAUAAAUACUCACAUGCCAUCCAGAACUUGCAUCCUUCUUAACAGAGAAUGGCUUAGCAGAGACAAGCCAUGUCAGCCUAGAAAUUUGUGUGCUUGUGACCAUAAGAUUGUUUUGUGACUCUUUCACUGAUCAGUGACUUCAAAAAACUGAAACAGAGCAAUCAUAAGGUUCAAGGACAGUGAAACAUCCAGAGUUUCACAUACAAAAUUAAAUUUCAUGAAUAGAAACAUUAUAACAGAAAAUAAUCAUGAUACUGCUGAAUCAUUAGAUCUGCUUACACAUGAGCAUAAUAUCUGAAUAAAGGCCAUACUAGGUAAAAAGGAUACAAAGGAGAUGAUUAUAAAGAGCCUAAUUUACCCAUUUUAUUUUAAUGGGGAAAAUUUAGACUGGAUAAAUUAUAUGCAAAAAAAUUAGUAACGCUCUUUUUUGCUAAAUAAAAAUGGUUGAUUAUAUGUUAAUUGUUGCCUAGAAAGUACCAAGUUAUUAUUUUUUAGCAUUUUUAACAGAGCAGAUCAAUAUAUUUGUACUUAGCUGGACAAAGGUGUACAGUUGAUAAGAAUGGUUAUACUAUACAGUUUCCUUUCCCUUAUAGCAUACUUGAAAAUUGUCACUGACAUCUAUGAAUCUAAUUUUAUUUUUCUGGUGUUUAGAUUUGUCCUUCUACUUAUAAUGGCAGAAGUUUUAUCUUAUUAGAUUAGUCCAUACACUAUAGCUAUGAGAAUGUUCUCAUUCUCAAACACUAAUUUGUAUGUGAAACUAAAUCAGAUGAAUAAAUAAGCUUAAAACAGACUGUGAAAUCCAGCGCUAUGAUGUCCAGUGUAGAAAAAAUAUGACAGAACGUUAAGUAGUGUCUGAGUAGUAAUCUCAUCUAUAAUGAUCUUCAAAGUCAGCUUUUCAAAGUAAGGUCAUUUUCAUUAAUGACAGAAAGUCAACUGAGCAAUAAUGAAGGAACUGUUGCUUUAUUCAAUUAGAGCACGCUUAAUGGUUCUUUAGGUCAUAUUGACUUGAUAAGAAGGUACAAAUGAGCAACCCCGUGGAAACAAAGGUCUUCUCAGGAAUAAUAGAUGCAAAUUUUAGACAAAUAAAUAUUGAAACCUAAUUUCUACUUCCAGCUCACCCUGCUGUGACUCUGCACUGAACAUUUACAUACUCUGUGACAUGUGUCCGGAAGUAUGAUAGGAAUAGACAUUUCUCUUUGCUUCAGUAAUGAAUUUGGUUAUUUAUAUAAUUCAGGAAUUUGGAAAUUACCUUCUGUUACCUUCCCCUUCCUCUAUAUGGAUCCAUCCUUUCUAAUUUGUUUGAAUUUGUUCUGCAUUGUCUAUGUAUAAACAGAUGUUAAUGGGUUAAGAUAUAGGUAAUGAACACCUAAUGAAUGUUAAACACUGUU
This is a long non-coding RNA of Arvicola amphibius (Eurasian water vole), 2394 nucleotides long. RefSeq lists it as uncharacterized. NCBI's taxonomy places the organism in Eukaryota, Metazoa, Chordata, Mammalia, Rodentia, Cricetidae. The transcript has 4 exons. The record is from RefSeq and is a predicted model, not a curated record.